CAGGGAGGGGGAGUGCAGAGGCAUUUCAAAUAUGUUGAGCCACAACCCUCCCCUCACUUCAUGUGAGGAACAGAAUGGAAAACAGAGCUGAAUACACAGGCCGGUGGUAGCUGGUCCCCUACAAGACAGUGAGGUACCGGAGGUCCCUCCACCCCCUCUGGACAUCGAGGGGUCCCCGGCGUACACAGUACGAGCUAUUCUGGACUCCAGACGCCGGGCCCAUCCCCCCAUGUCAUCGACGGUCAUCCUGGACAUCCUGGACCCGGCCCUCAUCACCAACUUUCACAGCCGGCACCCCGGUCAGCCAGCUAUGCGCUGGCCGGGGUGCCCGGGGGGGGGGGGGGGGUUUACUGUCACACCCUGAUCUGUUUCACCUGUCUUUGUGAUUGUCUCCACCCACCUCCAGGUGUCACCCGUUUUCCCUAUUAGUCCCUGGGUAUUUAUUCCGGUGUUAUCUGUGUCUGUUGCCAGUUCGUCUUGUCUUGUCAAGUCUACCAGUGUGUUUUUCUGUGCUCCUGCUUUUUCUUAUUUCUCUUUUGCUAGUCCUCCCGGUUUUGACCCUUGCCUGCCUUGACUCUGAACCCGUCUGCCUGACCAUGCUGCCUGCUCUGACCUCAAGCCUGCCUGCCACUCUGUACUUCCUGGAAACACUGACCUUGUUUAUGAUCUUUUGCCUGUCCACGACCAUUCUCUUACCUGCCCCUUGGAUUAUAAUAAAUAUCAGACACUCAAACCAUCUGCCUCACGUGUCUGCAUCUGGUUCUCGCCCUGUGACCUUAUAUAAACAGAGAGUACACAGUGGCAGAAUACCUGACCACUGUGACUGACCUAAAGUUAAGGAAAUCUUUGACUAUGUACAGACUCAGUGAGCAUAGCCUUGUAUUGCUGCACUUCCUAACCUCCUGCCAAAUGCAUGACCAUAUUAGAGACACAUAUUUCCCUCAGACUCACAAAGAAUUGGAAAACAAAUCCAAUUUUGAUAAACUGCCAUAUCUACUGGGUGAAAUACAACAGUGUGCCAUCACAGCAGCAAGAUUUGUGACCUGUUGCCACAAAAGGGCAACGAGUGAAGAACAAACACCAUUGUAAAUACAACCUUUAUUUAUUUUCCAUUUUGUACUUGAACAAUUUACACAUCAUUAACACUAUAGACAUACGACAUUUGAAAUGUCUAUUCCUUUGCAACUUUUGUGAGUGCAAUGUGUUACUGUUGAUUUUGAUUGUUUAUUUCACUUUUGUUUAUCUAUUUCACUUGCUUUGGUGAUGUAAACAUAUGUUUCCCAUGCCAAUAAAGCCCUUUGAAUUGAAUUGA
Long non-coding RNA from Oncorhynchus nerka (sockeye salmon), 1312 nucleotides. RefSeq lists it as uncharacterized. The record is from RefSeq and is a predicted model, not a curated record. NCBI's taxonomy places the organism in Eukaryota, Metazoa, Chordata, Actinopteri, Salmoniformes, Salmonidae. The transcript is spliced from 3 exons.